This 61-nucleotide transfer RNA is filed under the name Dagualachesilla anchicayaensis. RNAcentral describes it as "tRNA-Cys". The record is from RNAcentral. Lineage: Eukaryota; Metazoa; Arthropoda; Insecta; Psocodea; Sphaeropsocidae.
GAUUUUAUAGUUUAAAAAGAACAUUAAAUUGCAAAUUUAAAAGUAAAUAUUUUUAAAAUUU